GUCGACGAUUACUCCUACGGGAGGCAGCAGUGGGGAAUAUUGCACAAUGGGGGAAACCCUGAUGCAGCCAUGCCGCGUGUGUGAAGAAGGCCUUCGGGUUGUAAAGCACUUUCAGCGAGGAGGAAAGGUUGAUGCCUAAUACGCAUCAGCUGUGACGUUACUCGCAGAAGAAGCACCGGCUAACUCCGUGCCAGCAGCCGCGGUAAUAAUCUCUAGA
This 217-nucleotide ribosomal RNA is filed under the name uncultured Aeromonas sp. RNAcentral's name for it is "partial 16S ribosomal RNA". It matches the Rfam family "Bacterial small subunit ribosomal RNA", at positions 325 to 531 of the family's 1533-position model. The record is from RNAcentral. Lineage: Bacteria; Pseudomonadati; Pseudomonadota; Gammaproteobacteria; Aeromonadales; Aeromonadaceae.